UGGGGCGCCUCAGUCGUGUGCGGGCCGCUGUUCAGUGAGGGUGUGGAGUGCGCGCUCCAGCCACACACUGCACCACGCGCUGUACUGAGUGGCGAGGCGUUGCUCUCUCCUGACGCUACCACCGCAGCCACGUGUCACCUUCACCCUUGCACCUUCAUGUUGGACUGUCAUCAUAUCACAGGAACAAAUAAACAGUAAAUUGAUAAGCAAGGUAAAUAAGAAGUAGCAAUAACAGAAAAAAAACUAACAAACAAAGAAAGAAAGGAACACGGUGCCAAAAAGUGACCGAAAGUGAUAUAUAUUUAUAUUUUUCGAUCUCGACAAGAACAAAGCGUGUACAAAGAAUACAGAAAAAAAAUAUGAGGAAAAAACAAACAAACAAACAAGAGACAAAGUGAAUUAUAUAAAGGAAAUAAGUAAAAGAAAGACACACACACACACACACACACACACAUUCAAGGACCAUCACAGAACAGAUUAACAAAAGAAAAGAAAAAAGUGAAAAGUUGAUGAUAUAAAAGAGAACAAGAAAACACAAUAGGAAAGAACACAACAGUAAAAAAAAAAUUACGAUACACAAACACAGGAAACAGUCGUAAAAAAGAAGAAAGCAAGCAAGAGGAAAACAGACUUUGACAUAUAAACAAGCAAGAAGAAUAAGAGGAAGCCACGCCCGCCUCUGUUAGCAGGAAGGUGCUGAGCUCAGACCACCACCACCACCACCACCACCACCAUCGUCACCCACACAUUCAACAGGAUCACCACCACCACCACCACCACCACCACCACUGCCACCACCAGCGAAUGUAAACAAAGCAGACCAAACACCAUUAAGAAAUAACACAAGGUGACCUGAGCGAGCAAGGCCAGGCUGGGUCACGGGAGGCACCCACUCAGCAGCACAGGCAGAUAGGGAGGCAAGCAAGGAAAGUAAGAGAGAAUGAAGAUAACAGAGAAAUGAAGAGUAGAAACCAGUUAAAGGAAGAAUAGUAGAAACUGAAGGGAAGGAGAGUAAAAAGCUUAGAAGGAAAAACGGGAGCUUUAAAUAGAACAGAAUUCUGGAAAAAGAAACCAACGUUGCAAAAAAGAAGAGUGGACAGACGAGCAAGAAAAAAAAACAGAAGAGUAGAAACCUGAUUGCGAGUGUGUGUUUGUGUUAUUGUUUUCUGUCUCUCUCUCACACACACAUACACACACACUCUCUUUUCCUGUCCCUAAAGCGCGUCAGCCAAAUAUUUAAGUGAGAAGGAAAAGGAGAGAGACAAAAUAAAUAAAUAAAUAAAUAAAAUGUGAACAACUUAUUGACUGAAGGAGAACUAGUCCCACCCAUCCACCCAAACACACGCACACAUACACACACACACACACACACACACACACAGACGACAAAUAAUCAUAGACCAGUGAAUUCACAGAGAUACAAGAUGAAGUAAAGACAAAAACUGAGGCGGCAAGGGACAUAAAAGUCUUAAACAAAAGAACAUGAGGAGGAGGAGGAAGACAUGAUGCCAAAACACAGAGAUUCAACUUCGUGAGACAAAAACAAUGAAACUUCUUAGUCUACGAAGAAAGUAAGAAAGGAGGGCGGACGACAAGGAGGAGGGGGAGGAGGCGAGGAGAAGGAGGGGGAAAGAGAAAGAGGAGGAGGAGGGAGAGAAAGAGGAAGAAGAAAGGGGGAGGAGGAGGAGGAGGAGGAGGAGGAGGAGGAGGAAGAGGAGGAGGAGAAGUGACCUGUAAACAACUUGAAGCCACACAAAGAAGAGAAUAUAAAGAGGAUGAGAAACAGAAAAAAAAACAAAAAGUGAAAGAAAAGAAAUGACAGAGGAAGAAAAGGAAAGGAAGUGAACACAACACAAAACACAGGAAAACAAGAAACAAGAAAUAAGAAAGAAAAGUGAAGGAGGUGAAAACAAGAGAAAUAUCAACAAGAACAUUAACGACGGCAAUGACAAUAAGAACGAGAAGCAAAAGUCGAUCGUAAUGCGCAUCCCCCCAUCCAUCCAGCCCCACAGGAACCCCACACCCCCCGCCCCACUCUGCCGCCCUCCUGCACUGUGACUCCGAAACAGAAAGAAGGGACGUCUGCCCCCUGAGAGAGAGAGAGAGAGAGAGAGAGAGAGAGAGAGAGAGAGAGAGAGAGAGAGAGAGAGAGAGAGAGAAAUUGCAGUGGAGUUAAGAAUUUAAGAUAUGAGACUUUGCUGUUUCUUCCAAAUUGCUUGAAGGCUUGAAGAAUAAAAGGUAAAGGAAAGACAGACGGAAAAAAAAAAAAGAGAGGGAAAAAAAAAACAAUAUCUUAUGAAUCACCAUGGCGACCUGAGGCAACAGAAACAUUCCUAAGGCAGUUAAAGAAAAAACUAAAGGAAACAAAAGGACACACACACACACACACACACACACACACACACACACACUCACACACACACACACACACACACACACACACACACACA
Molecule: long non-coding RNA, 2450 nt
Organism: Scylla paramamosain (green mud crab)
Lineage: Eukaryota; Metazoa; Arthropoda; Malacostraca; Decapoda; Portunidae
Exons: 3
Source: RefSeq, a predicted model, not a curated record